RNAcentral lists this long non-coding RNA (4058 nucleotides) under Homo sapiens (human). Its description in RNAcentral is "long non-coding RNA NONHSAT182487.1". Lineage: Eukaryota; Metazoa; Chordata; Mammalia; Primates; Hominidae. The record is from RNAcentral.
AUUCUGAUUCAGUAGGCCUUUGCCAGGGCAGAGGUAUGUAGGUGAUGCUCACGCUCAGCUAGGUUUGGGAGCAACCAGACUAGAACCCAUUCACAUACAGACUCUUAGUAAAUGUUUUCUGCUCUCAUCUUGCAAAGUGAAAGUGCCCAGCACAGGCAAUGGUGUUAGUACGUUGUAGUCAUUCACAAACUAGGGCUGCCCAGAAGAGAGACAGGCUGGGACUUUCGAGAGAGAAACAGCUGUUUCAUUUGAAUGCCUGGUGUGGGAAGAAGAAGGACAGCCUAGCUUCAUGGAACCUUCUUGCACCAAACAAAGCCUCCAGAUCCCUCCACAGUGCUCCAUUCAAUCCCUGUCCAUUGGUGGUGGACCAAAGAAGAAACCAAUUUGCCUUGGCCACAUGUCUUUGAGAAAAAAAGCCACUCUCCCUUCUGGGACUCAGAGCAUCUGUACCUGUAAUAUAAGAGGGGAAUGUGGAAAAUUCUAACUGGAUGAUCACUUUUCUGUGGAGGGAAAAACACAUUUUUUGUUUUAAGGGGCUAGCCAGCAUCAAACCUUUUUUUGAGAUGGAGUCUCGCUCUGUCACCCAGGCUAGAGUGCAAUGGCACUAUCUCCGGGACCAAGUGCCCCCUGCACUUUCAACGCCGUAGGUCUCCCGGCAGCCCUGGAAGGACAGUCUUACCCGGACGCCACGGUGGUCUCCCGGCAGCCCUGGGAAGGACAGUCUUACCCGGACGCCACGGUGGUCUCCCGGCAGCCCUGGGAAGGACAGUCUUACCCGGACGCCACGGCCGAGCUGCCCUUCCCUCCCUGCUGCCCCCAGGGAAGGCUGCUGGUGUCCUCAGAUGCGGGCAGGAGGAACCCGCCAGCGCCUGAGAGCCUGGCCCGAACCAGGCCUGGAGGUGCUGGGGCGAAGACACAGAGGAUGUGGCCUCCAUCCCUGGUAACAGACGGUUACCAGGGCGGCUUUGGGUGAGGACAUUGAAAAAGGUCAGACUCCCUGGGAGCAGCGCCCUGGACUCCAUUCUCAUCACAGGCCAGUGGUUCCCAAUUGAAGUCAGUUUUGCUCCUCAGGGCACACUUAACAACAUCUGGAGACAUUUUUAAUUGUCCUGACCGAGAGGACAAUGCUACUGGCAUCUAGUGGACAGAGGCCAGGGAUACUGCUGAACAUCCCGCAGUGCACAGGACGCCUGCAACACAGAUUAUCCAGCCCCAAACGUCAAUAGUGCCGGAGUUAUGGAACCCUAAUGAAGACAAUUCUUGAAGGCAUAGACUGAAUCUUAUUUAUCUUUGUUUCCCUCAUGUCUCACAAGCAGAGUAUGAGUUCAGCAAAUAGGAGUUGAACAGAAAUCAGGAGGAGGUGCUGAUUGACAGGAAAAAAGAAAGAUUUAGUUUAGAGCUGAGAAUUCAGCUGGACAGCCAUAGGGGCUCUGGCAUGGAGACUGGAAGUCAGAAGAGAAUUUGCAGCAAGACAUUUAGAGCCAUUUAUCCAGCCAUCAUAAUUUUAUUGAGUAACUAUUUUGUGUGAGGCACUGUACUGGAUGCUUUGGCAACAGAGAUAAGCAAGGCAACCCCUGUGAAAUCACUUGAACCCAGGAGGAGGAGGUUUCAGUCAGUAGAGAUUGAACUACUAUACUCUAGCCUGGAUGACAAAGUAAGACCUUGUCAAAAAAAAAAAAAAAAAAAAAAAAAAAAAAAGAAGGAUAAUCAAGACAAUGAGCUAACACAGAAGCCAUAGUGGACUUUCUUCAAUAUUUUAAGAAAGGUGAAAAAUAGCAGGAAUUUAACCUCUCAAAAAUGCUAUUCCCAUUAUCUAUUCUUCCUCAGCUACAAAGCCCCUGAUUUCACCUAGGCACAUGGCUGCCCAAAAAAGACAACCCUGUCUGGCCCCCCUUAAACCUGAUUGUAGCUAUCUAAGUUGUAGCCAAUGAGGUGUCAGAGGAAGUACCAUGCAGUGCAACUUCUUAAGUAGCCUAGAAAGAUGGGGUCACAUCCCCCUGGGUUGUUUCCUUCUUUGUGUCAUUUUGAUCUCUCUCGCUGGAAAACAGAAAUGAUGUCUGGAGUGUAAGCAGCCAUCUUGGGCUAGGAGACUACAUGCUGACAUGGUGACACACCACCCAGAAAGAAUCUGAGUAGUCGAUGAUCACAGAGCUACCAUAUCAGCACUAGACUCUCUACCUCCACAUUUUAUUUGUGUGACAUAGAAAUAAAGUUUAAGCUUUGUUUUUUCUGGGGUGUAUGUGUGUACACAUGUGCGUCUCUGUCUGUCUCACAUGCAGUGAGACCUAAUUCUAACUGAUAUGCCGGUAGGAUGGGGGGACCUUGCCACAAGGUAUAAUUGUGGUGGGAUGGCUGUGUCUUGCUCCCAUUCAGGAUCCAUGGAAAGCUCCUCCUCCUUCCUGUUCCCCUGGAUGCCAAGCGAUGGGCCUGAGACCCUGGCUUUGCCAUGUGGAUGCUCCCCCUCAGGACUUUGGAUGUGCAGUGAUUGCUACAAAAAGGGCAAUGAAGAUGCCUGGACCACAGCCACACAGUCUCCAUCACAGCAGUGGUAUUCUGUGGAAUGAGUACUAAUUUUCUGGCCACAUUUUCUGUUAAAAACUGGUUGUUGAGCUGCCCACUUGUCUUGGUCAAGGGAUGCUGGAGUGGCCUGGGAAGGCAGUGUUGUUUGCUUUUCUUAGGAUGGAACACACUUAGGCAUAUUUUUGGUCAAAGCAAAAGAAGAAUUCAAAGGUGAGAGAAGUUGAAGAUAAAAAGGGGAAAAUGAGGGUAGCAGAUGAAGCAAAGUCACACAGAAAGCUGGCAGGCGAGUAGUAGAAUCAGAGUACAGGCUGAGCAUCCCAAAUCUGAAAAUCCAAAAUCGGAAGUGCUCCAAAACCUGAAACUUUUGGAGCACCAACACAAUGCUCAAAGUAAAUGCUCAGUGAAGCAUUUUGGAUUUCAUAUUUUCAGAUUUGGGUUUGCCCAACCGGUGUAAUACAAAUAUUCCAAAAUCAAAAAAAAAAAAAAAAAAAAAUCUAAAGUCUGAAACACUCCUGGUCCCAAGCAUUUUGAAUACAGGAUACUCAACCUGUAUGACACUUUCCUAUUGGACCCUCUUUCCUACCCCAAAUAAUACUUAAUAAGUUUUUGUUUCAAAAGUGCCACUCUGAGCAUCUUUGGCUAUAAGGAGCAGAGUCACAUUCUAGCUCCCCUGGCACCUGCUUCACAGGAGCCCAUGUGAGAAGACCAGGUUCUGGUCAGGACAGGCAUACCUGAGAGCUGUUGGGGUCUGUGAUCUGCUGAAAAAUGACUUCUCAAUGUUCUUCACAUCCUAAUCCUCAGAAACUGUGAAUAUAUUACUUUAUAUGACAACAGGGAUUUUAAAGAUGUGAUUAAGUAAAUAGUUUGGAGAUGGACAGAUUAUCCUGGAUUAUCCAGAUGGGCCCAAUGUAAACACAAGGGCCCUCAUGAGAGGGAGGCAAGAGGGUCAGAGAAGAUGCUGUGACAGCAGAAGCAGAGGACAGAGAGUCGCAGAGAGAUUUGAAGAUACUACACAGCUGGCUUUGAAAAUGCAGGAAAGGGCCAUAUCUGUUGCUUCACACCACUAAGUUUGUGAUAAUUUGUUACAGCAGCAGUGGGAAACUAAUAGAGCAUCUUUCCUUUUUUUCUAGUUAAAGGACUCACUUGUACGUGUACACAUUUCUCAGGAGUCCUGUCAACCACUGGGAAGAAAGAGGCUGGACUUCUGCAUUGAACCCAGGAACGGGGUUUCACAGCAAUGGAAACCUGGGGUUAAAUAUCAAUGGAACCUUACAUGACUUGAAGAAUCUUUAAUACAAGCUAGGUUUUGACCCCAAAUUAGACAUUUGGCAGCCUCUCAUUACAGUCUAUCUUGCAAACCUCAGUGUGGCAAGGAAUCAGAUUCACCCACACUCCCUAGUCUAAAGGAUUGUCCUCUGAUCCUUCCAGGUGGAUUAAGCCCUUUCUAAUCUGUCAUGGACAGAGCAAUGUACCUGCCUUUGUUUGUUUUCCUUAAUUCUUUCAAGUGCCUUUGGGUAAUAAAUGGUUGCGUACUCAGG